GUCCACGCUGUAAACGAUGGGUACUAGGCGUCGGGGGAGCGACCCCCUCGGUGCCGUCGCUAACGCAGUAAGUACCCCGCCUGGGGAGUACGGCCGCAAGGCUGAAACUCAAAGGAAUUGACGGGGCCCGCACAAGCGGUGGAGCAUGUGGUUUAAUUCGAUGCAACGCGAAGAACCUUACCUGGGCUUGACAUGCUGGUGAAAGCCGGUGGAAACAUCGGCCCCUCUUCGGAGCGCCAGCACAGGUGCUGCAUGGCUGUCGU
Molecule: ribosomal RNA, 263 nt
Filed under: uncultured bacterium
Lineage: Bacteria
Description: partial 16S ribosomal RNA
Rfam family: Bacterial small subunit ribosomal RNA
Source: RNAcentral